GUUAUGUAGCUUAUAGAAUUCCAGCGUAAUUACAGCAUAUAUAAUGUAAUUAUUUGUUUGUGAACACAAAAGCAAAUGCACCAAUUGCAAUUUGGUUGUUUGCUUCCAAGUUCCUUUUUUUGCUGAUUCAGAUUUUUUUUUCUAAAAACUAUAACUUACAGCAUAUACAAACAAACUUUUCAACUUUUCUCAAAGUAAAAUAUUAUUUUCAUACUAAAAGAAAUAAUUAAACUUCCUAAAUCCCCCAAAUUGCAUUAAAUAACAGGAUCUUCUCUUUUUUUAAACAGUGAAAAGAGGUACAAAUAAUUAACAGAAAUGAGUUGGUAUAUACCCACUGUUAUCUGACAUAUCUUAACUUACCAAAAGUAAGCAGGUGGAUUUAUAUAACAAAACAAAUAUCAGGUAGUUGCAUUAUUUCCAGUAUGUUUAUAAAUUUACCAGAUAAAAUUAUGCUGACCUCUCUUUCUUUAACAUUUUUUUUAAUUUUCAUAAUUUUUCUUGUAACAGAGCAGCUUCUGGUUGGCUCUGAGCUCUGAAUAGCGUAAGGCUGUUCCAAGUAGAUGGUCCCUGGCCAAGCCAUUGUUGCAUCUUUAAUUAAUUAGUUGCUUACAAUUUGGUGUUGUGUAAGUAAACCUUUUUAUGGGGUAAUUUAUCAAAAUAAAUUCGUGCUCUCUAAGUAUGUCCCAGUCCAGUGUAUCACCUUAACUUUACAGUGACUGUUAGCUGUCCAGAGUACUACUCGAAGUGAAGAUGUAGUAUGCUAGCUCAAGAAGCAUUUUGAGUAGACAUGCAGUGAGAGACAAUACCACAGAUGUGCCGUUGCAAAAGCUACCAACUGCCUGGAUAACAUACACAGUAAUCAUGCUGCGUGCACAAGUCGGGUAAAGUCUGCUGUUUUGUCUUGAUGUUAAAAGUGAGGCUUGUAAAAAAAAACCUUUAGAAGAGCCAAUUCUGUGCUUUUAACCAGCAUUUCAAAUACUUUCCAGUGUGUUACUAAUGAUUACCUCAAGAAUGAUGUUUGAAACACAUAUUUUGUGGCUUGUAGAAUUUGUGCUGUGUAACAUCACCAUGUUGAGGUACAAGGGGGAAUGAAUUGAGCAUUGUUACUCUCAGCAAAUGGAGAUAAAAAUAACCCCCCAAAAUGAGGAUCUGUACAGUCUGUGGAUAUUAAAGAGGGUGUACUAUGCUCAUUAUAUAUAUAUGCAUAUGUAGACGCAUUAGUGUUAAAAUAUUGGAUUUUCAUAUUAAACAUGUUUAAAGUGUUUAAAGUAAAUACACUGAUGCCAGUGUAUUUACAAGUAAUUUUUAUUUACAAGUAAAACCUCUGGCUUCACAUUGUACAGUUUCACACAGCUUUUUUCUACUCUUAGCUCUUUAUUAUCUCAGUGAGUACAGAUAUCUCCAAUAAGGUCAUCUCAGGCACACAGCUCUAGUCUCCCAACCCAUAUGGUGUUCAAACCUGUUUGCAAGGAGCAGCAAAUCUAAAGAAAGUUGGCUGUUCUUCAGACAGAGGAUAAACUUAGUGCCUGCACCUACACCCAGCAUAAAAGAAAUAGUAUAAUCUAUUAUGAUUGAAGAAUAAAAAUGAGAAUCUGGAAAUGAGCAGACUGUGCUAUUACUAUUGCUCUCAGCAGCUUGGUUGCUGGCAAAUAUGAAGUGUUGUCAGAAUCUCCAAGUAAGAAAUACAUUCCUUCCCACGCACUGCUGACUCUGUUGUGCUUGUUCCAGGUCCAUUGUGUAACUGACGCCACCAACAUUAACAGGACGCUUACAUUAGAGACUUGUAUUUUGCGUUUUGUUUGGGUUUCCAGGUUUGGGUUUGCGGGGAAUUGCCAAAAUUAGAGACGGGACAGCCUGUGAAACAGGAAAUGACUGCAGUGUAAUCCAUUUAUUUCAACACAGUAACUGUAUUCUUAUUAUCACUUUUUUAAACAGUAACUGUAAUGGAAUACAGUUACUCAUAUUUUGUAUUUUAAAUACAUAACGCCGGUACAUGUAUUCCAUUACUCUGCAACACUGCUCUUGGCAAGAAAGGGUGUAUUUCACAAAAUACAUACCUGUAUUUUGAACCAUAGUAUUGGAACGCAAAAAAGAACAACAAGCAAUCUGAACUCAACUGUCAUGACUUUUCAGUGACAAUUUGUGUGCAUUUUAUAGGGAAUUAAUUGCAUCUUAACUGGGUGCUUAGGGCUCAAUAGAUAAUCAAAUGGCCACAUCAGACUAUAACUUUCUGUUAUAGAAAGCAUAUAAAGAUGGAUGGAAUACCCAUUAUCACUUCCUGCCUUUUUAGCCCAUGUCUUUGAGUGUAACUAGCAUGACAUUACCAUAGUAUUGUAGCCACAACUUGUGCCUGACCCAAAUGGUAGCUCACUUGAUAACAGUAGUUUAUUGUUGUAUAUCUAAAAUGCUGUGUCAGCCAUAAGAGAAACUAUUAAAAAAUGUUAAAAAGUCCUCCAAUGUUUUUAUGUACAAUAUCUAAACAGAUGCUAAAACAUGUCUACAUUACUUAUUUGUUCAAAGGAGCUACCUGUCACUUUCAGUCAUCAGAUACCUUUUUUUAGAAUCAAGCAACUAAACAGUGACAAAAUAUCACAGUGAUGCGUAAAAGUCAAUUUGACUACAUAUUUGCUACAAUUGAUAAAAUAUGUUUUAGUCAGGCUCAUAUCCUCUAUGCUAACAAGAAUAGGGAGCUGUGAUGUUGUCCAUCUUAAUGUCUAUGCCUUGCAGUAUUAAAAAUUACUUCUACUGGCAAAAACCCACUUUAUGUGUGUUUUUUGCAAGGACUGUGGUGCUUUUUCAGUUCCGUCAUUCCAAUUCCAUCGCAGGUACAAUUUUUAGUGACCAUUAACUUAAGGGCAAUAUACAUAAAAAGUGAUAAGUGAAAGAAAUGCAAACGGAAGAUGUAACAUUGCAUUCAAAGGGGGAUAAUGAAAUGAACGUCCUGUUUAGAAAUAUCAAAAUAAUUUACAUUUAGAAUAAAUAAAUGCUAAAAUAAUUGCUCUUUGUGACAUUUUUCAUUCAGAUUGGCCCAUCCUUUAAGGAGGAGAUAGGGUGCAUAUAUACAUACAUAUAGUGGAGGAAGUCAUUGUUUGAGCCCCUGCUAAAUGUGUAAGUUUACUAACUUAAAAAACAAAUGAACUGUAGUAGUAGUAAUUUCAUUUUAAUGGACAGAGAAAAAUAUCAACCAAAAUCCAAAAAACAUGAAAAUUAUGGUUUGAGUGAAAUAAGUAUUUGAUCCUCAGGCAAAACAUGACUUAGUACUUGGUAAAGAAGCCCUUAUUGGUAGAUGUAGUUGUGAGAUGUUUUUUGUAGUUGUCACCAGGUUUGUGCAUUGUAGCAAGUGUGACCCACGCUUGGCAGUGUAAUUACAGAGUCUUCAUUUACAAUGUGCAUUGUAAUCUUGUGCUUGCGUGAGCAGCUUUCCAGCUUCUGGUCACUUGGCAGUGCUUCUUGCCCUCGCUCUUCUUGCUACUGCUCUCCUCAGCUACUGCAGAAAAAGUGGAUGCAUGAUUAUGAUGAUAGGUCCUUGCUGUGUCUGCCAGCCUCCCCUGACUCUACACCCUUACCCCGCUGCACCAUCCCUCCUCUACGGCAGAGCCAAAGACAACACCCCGCCACACAAACAUCUCAGGAGUGAUUAUGGCCCAGAAAUUUUCUAAAUCCUUUAGGUUUUUGGAAACUUGAAGCUUUAGCUGCCUUCACUGAUUUUCUAUAGGACUGACAUCUGAAAACUGGCUAGGCCACUUCCUGACCUUAAUAUGCUUCUUUUUUUAGCCACUUCUUUGUUGUCUUGGCUAUAUGUUUGGGGUAUUUGUCAUGCUGGAAGACCCAUCCACGAUCCUUCAGUGUUCUGGCUUGGGAAAGGAUGUUCUUGUUCAACAUUUUACAGUACAUGGCCUGCCAAUUGGUUCCUUAAUGCAGUGAAGUCAUGCUGUAACCUUAGCAAAAAAAAAACAGCCUUAAAGCAUAAUGUUUCCAGCUGCGUGCUUGACUGUGGGGAUGGUAUUCUUUGGGUCAACAUCUUUCUUCCCUGAAACGCUCAAUUUUAGUUCUAUAUGACCACUGGAUUUGGACUGAUUCUUAUAUAGCACUUUUCUACUUUCCUAGAGCACUCAAAGUGCAUAAUACAACAAGCCACAUUCACACAAGCACUGUCUUCUAUGCUUUAAGUGCUUUCUAUCUAAGCAUUCACACACAUUAAUAUGAGCUUGGGGUUAGGGUUAGGAUACUUAGCAUGCAGACUGGGGCAGCAAGGGAUGAAACCACCAGCCUUCCAAUUAGUAGCUGACCUGCUCUACCUCCUGAGCUACAGCCACCCCACUUUCACCUGACUGUUCCCAGAAUCAUUUAGAAGUGUGCAAACUGCACAUGUGCUUUCUUGACCAGGGGGGUCGUGUGGGCUCAGCAAUAUUUUAAUCCAUUACAGUUUAGAGUGUUAUCAAUGGUGUUCUUGGCGACUGUGGUCCCAACUGCCUUCAGAUCGUAGUCUUGGGUCAUGAUCAUCCUUACCUAUUAAGGCAAGAUCUUACAUGGAGACCGAGAAUGACUGAUAGUCGUUUUAUAUUUUUAUUCCAUCACACCAGCAGCUUUCUCACAAAGCUUUUCCUGAAGGCUUUGAGAUCAGAAAUUGUAAUGUUUGAUAGACUGAAUAUAGUCUUUGUGCUACAUGGGCACAUAACCAAUCUGUGGAGGCCAGAAUUCUGGCUGUAGGUUAUAGGGGAUCAUUUACCUAUUCCACUAAAUGAUAUGCUAUUCAAUUUAUAACUUUUAAGUAAUGGAGUUGUCUGGAUUUUUGAUUGAUAUUCUGUUUCUCCAUUAAAAUGCAACUACAAUAAAAAUUAGAGACUGUUCAUUUCUUUGUAAGUGAGCAAACCAAAUUCAACAGAGGAUCAGAUCAUUAUUACCCUGAAUAUACUGUAUGAACAUUAUUGUAAGAAUAUGGGAUUCUGAUUGAUAUGAUUGAUAUGAUGAUGUUGCUUUAAUGCGUCAAUUAGUAUUUGGAAAAAAAGGAGCAUGGUUUGCAAAAUUUGGCAAAGCAUCCUUAGUUUUACUGAGUUAAAGCACAGGAGAGGCAUAUAUAUCUAUAUAUAUAUAUAUAUAUAUAGAUAUAUAUAUAUAUAUAUUUAUAGAUAUAUAGAUAUAUAUAGAUAUAUAUAGAUAUAUAUAUAUGAUAAUUUCUAGAUGGGACCUGUAUUACCAUUGUAUUACCUAUGCUGUAUUGCAUUUGCAUGUUUUGUAUCCGUGAAUUUUUUGUGCUGUGAUUGAUGUUGUUCUCAAUUCCUGUUUCUAUCUCUAUUGUUUUGUUAUAGAGCCCUUUCUAUAGAAAAACUUGAAUUGUUUUAAAUUUAUUUUUGUAUCACUUUCUGUGCGGUUCAUUAAAGGAGACACUAGCAAAUGAGAUGUUAAUGCCUUAAUCUGUGUACUUCAAGUUGGUUUUUAAUCUUGUGUGUCUGUUUUUAUUGUAAAUAACACUGAACAUUGCUAAUUUUGUUUUGAUAAAUUCUCUACUAAAUGUAAUAAAAAUAUUCUAACUGAGA
Molecule: long non-coding RNA, 5537 nt
Organism: Astatotilapia calliptera (eastern happy)
Lineage: Eukaryota; Metazoa; Chordata; Actinopteri; Cichliformes; Cichlidae
Source: Ensembl